AUUGAACGCUGGCGGCAUGCCUUACACAUGCAAGUCGAACGGUAACGGGCCUUCGGGUGCCGACGAGUGGCGAACGGGUGAGUAAUACAUCGGAACGUGCCCGAUCGUGGGGGAUAACGAGGCGAAAGCUUUGCUAAUACCGCAUACGAUCUACGGAUGAAAGCAGGGGACCGCAAGGCCUUGCGCGGACGGAGCGGCCGAUGGCAGAUUAGGUAGUUGGUGGGAUAAAAGCUUACCAAGCCGACGAUCUGUAGCUGGUCUGAGAGGAUGAUCAGCCACACUGGGACUGAGACGCGGCCCAGACACCGACGGGAGGCAGCAGCGGGGAAUUUUGGACAAUGGGCGCAAGCCUGCACCAGCCAUGCCGCGUGCAGGAUGAAGGCCUUCGGGUUGUAAACUGCUUUUGUACGGAACGAAAAGCCUUCUUUUAAUACAGGAGGGUCAUGACGGUACCGUAAGAAUAAGCACCGGCUAACUACGU
This 481-nucleotide ribosomal RNA is filed under the name uncultured bacterium. RNAcentral's name for it is "partial 16S ribosomal RNA". It matches the Rfam family "Bacterial small subunit ribosomal RNA", at positions 30 to 506 of the family's 1533-position model. The record is from RNAcentral.